RNAcentral lists this ribosomal RNA (498 nucleotides) under uncultured bacterium. Its description in RNAcentral is "partial 16S ribosomal RNA". It matches the Rfam family "Bacterial small subunit ribosomal RNA", at positions 30 to 523 of the family's 1533-position model. The record is from RNAcentral.
AUUGAACGCUGGCGGCAUGCCUUACACAUGCAAGUCGAACGGUAACAGGUCUUCGGAUGCCGACGAGUGGCGAACGGGUGAGUAAUACAUCGGAACGUGCCUAGUAGUGGGGGAUAACUACUCGAAAGAGUGGCUAAUACCGCAUGAGAUCUACGGAUGAAAGCAGGGGAUCGCAAGACCUUGUGCUACUAGAGCGGCCGAUGGCAGAUUAGGUAGUUGGUGGGAUAAAAGCUUACCAAGCCGACGAUCUGUAGCUGGUCUGAGAGGACGAUCAGCCACACCGGGACUGAGACACGGCACAGACUCCUACGGGAGGCAGCAGUGGGGAAUUUUGAACAAUGGGCGAAAGCCUGAUCCAGCAAUGCCGCGUGCAGGAUGAAGGCCUUCGGGUUGUAAACUGCUUUUGUACGGAACGAAAAGCCCCGGGUUAAUACCCUGGGGUCAUGACGGUACCGUAAGAAUAGGCACCGGCUAACUACGUGCCAGCCGCCGCGGUAA